AGUGAACGCUGGCGGUAGGCCUAACACAUGCAAGUCGAACGGCAGCACAGUAGGAGCUUGCUCUUACGGGUGGCGAGUGGCGGACGGGUGAGGAAUACAUCGGAAUCUACUUUUUCGUGGGGGAUAACGUAGGGAAACUUACGCUAAUACCGCAUACGACCUACGGGUGAAAGCAGGGGAUCUUCGGACCUUGCGCGAUUGAAUUAGCCGAUGUCGGAUUAGCUAGUUGGCGGGGUAAAGGCCCACCAAGGCGACGAUCCGUAGCUGGUCUGAGAGGAUGAUCAGCCACACUGGAACUGAGACACGGUCCAGACUCCUACGGGAGGCAGCAGUGGGGAAUAUUGGACAAUGGGCGCAAGCCUGAUCCAGCCAUACCGCGUGAGUGAAGAAGGCCUUCGGGUUGUAAAGCCCUUUUGUUGGGAAAGAAAAGCAGCAGGUUAAUACCCCGCUGUUCUGACGGUACCCAAAGAAUAAGCACCGGCUAACUUCGUG
This 492-nucleotide ribosomal RNA is filed under the name uncultured bacterium. RNAcentral describes it as "partial 16S ribosomal RNA". It matches the Rfam family "Bacterial small subunit ribosomal RNA", at positions 29 to 507 of the family's 1533-position model. The record is from RNAcentral.